This is a long non-coding RNA of Oryzias melastigma (Indian medaka), 999 nucleotides long. RefSeq lists it as uncharacterized. The transcript is spliced from 2 exons. NCBI's taxonomy places the organism in Eukaryota, Metazoa, Chordata, Actinopteri, Beloniformes, Adrianichthyidae. The record is from RefSeq and is a predicted model, not a curated record.
AGAUAGUUUUAUAGAUCCUUAAGACUUGGCGCCACUUUCUCCUGCUGGUAAUAAUUCCUUGGUUGCAGAAUUAAAAACUCACUCGAGUCCCCAGGCAAUCAACCCUUCAAGCAACGCUGCUUAAUAGACUGUCUUCUUUGGUGCAUAUCCAGGACUAAUCUACCUUUUAUUGAUCAUGCAUGCAGCAUAGCCAUGUCCUCACUGCAUCCACUUCUCUUGUUUGGAAGCUGCACGCUCAUCCCCUCAUGGCAGCACAUUACCGCAUACAGGGUCCCGCUGUCAUCUCUGCCCCAGCCCUGCCUCUGUCCUUGCAGUCCUCUUUUUACUCUCUCCGUUCUGCCACCGUCCUUCCCAGCAUGCAUGUGUGCUGAUUUACAGCUGGGUGGAGAGAUGCAGAGAGAGAGAGAGAGGGAGAGGGGGAAGAAGUGAAUGUGGGAGACGGGGAGGAAGUGACUCGCAUCAGCAUGAUAGGGACCGUGUGUAAAUUACCGCCCCCUUUAAAGAGUCAUGAGCAUGAGAAGACGUGGAAUAGCUGCAGGUGAGGGUGUAGUGCAGCUGAAAAGCAAGAUUAGUUCAUUUAUUUAUUUUUUUUUUGCACAAUGAAUUUAACAAAAUAUGGGAAAUGUAUUUAGUUUGAGGUCAGAUUAAUCAAUGGAUGUCAUAUGUGAAACUACAACUAUUUCCAUUUUGCAUUCUUAACACAACACAACCACUUCAUUUGUAAUAAGCAUCUUUGAAGCACGUUUUUCAGCUUAAGAGCCUUCUUGGCUGGACAUUUACCUUAGUUGGCAAUUUGAAAUUUACCCAUACCCCAAUUUGACCACAAUUCACGAUGAUUCACACUCAGAACACUUUUCUUCAAUUUAUAUCUAAUUUCAGCAAUGAAAACAAGUUCUGGACGCACACUGUAAUUAGGUUUUAUUACAGUGGUAAAGUUGAGCCAUUUUAGAUUGAAAAGCUUUAAGAAAAUGCAAGUUUUGCUCUUUCGAAGCAAAUUAC